This 78-nucleotide small RNA is filed under the name Flavobacterium phragmitis. RNAcentral describes it as "Flavo-1 RNA". It matches the Rfam family "Flavo-1 RNA". Lineage: Bacteria; Pseudomonadati; Bacteroidota; Flavobacteriia; Flavobacteriales; Flavobacteriaceae. The record is from RNAcentral.
AUCCAGCCCCGAUAGAAGUGGAAAUCCUUUUAUGCCGGUGUUCGGCAUAAAAGAUUGCAACGGAUAGCGGGACUAAAG